This 425-nucleotide ribosomal RNA is filed under the name Amblyomma coelebs. RNAcentral's name for it is "partial 16S ribosomal RNA". The record is from RNAcentral. Lineage: Eukaryota; Metazoa; Arthropoda; Arachnida; Ixodida; Ixodidae.
UUAAAUUGCUGUGGUAUUUUGACUAUACAAAGGUAUUGAAAUAAGACUUUAAUUGAGUGCUAAGAGAAUGGAAUUACAGAAAAACUCUUUAUUAAAUUUAAAAUUUGAAGCUAUUUUUAUUUGUGAAGAAACAAUAAUUAUAAUUAAGGACAAGAAGACCCUAAGAAUUUUAAUGAAAAGUUAUAAUUUUAAAUUUUUUUUUAAAACUUUUCUUUAAUUGGGGCGAUUAAUAAAAAUUAGAAACUUUGUUUAAAAUAAAAUGAACCAAUAUUAUUGGUAAAGUGAAAAAAAUACUCUAGGGAUAACAGCGUAAUAAUUUUAGAUAGUUCUUAUAGACAAAAUAGUUUGCGACCUCGAUGUUGGAUUAGGAUACUUUUUUAANGAAGAAGUUAAAAAAAGAAGUUUGUUCAACUUUCAAUUUCCUA